UCAGUAAAUGAGGGUGCGUUACGGUUGCCAGUUUCCUUAGUGUGCCCUCGACCCUAAAACUAAAGUUAUACCAGAGGACAUACAAGGUUGCUCCAUUGCCACUUAGUAAUGAAUACCGUUACGUCAAUAAUAAAAGUUUAGUAUAUUCUAUUUUCACUUACUGCCCAUAGUUAUAUGCCAGUUUGCAAUAAAACAUAUUGGGUAUGAGGGGUAGUAAUAGUUUGACUAUUCAACACGUUUCCACUGCAAUUAAUUGACAAGCAACAAUAGAAAUGUACUUGGAAGCGGUGUAUUCUGUGAAGUCCGUGUCGAAGAUGUAACUUUUCCUCAAGUAAGAAACUGCACUUCUGUUGAAACACAAAUUGGUGCUAGUUUUAUAGCAUCUGUACUUGUAAUUAAUGUAAACUUUUAAAACAACAGAAAUACAAUUCAUCACAGAAAAUACACCAUGUGGGUGGGAGCCCACAGCAUGUUGUGUUUGGAAGAGAUCGCUCAUGCAACAGGAACGAAAUGUGAAACAUGGCGGUCAGGCAUGAUCGCCUUGCUUUAUAAGCUGUAUAAAAAUUAAUAGCAGGCCACCUGGACGUCAAGAUGGAAAUGAUUCUAGUAUAGGCUUCUGUAGUUCAAAUAGGCCAGCUGUUCAAAAUUUGACCAAAGUAAAUGGCAAUUGAGUCAAGUGGAAACAACUAGCAGAUAGAGCUGAAGCAGAGAUAGUACAUCCUCUGCAAGCAUGUGGGUGUUCACGUGUUAUUUGUCAGGUAAUUUCACCUGUAUGUAACAUAAUAAGAAAUGAGUGGUAGCUUUUAACCGAGUACCUAAGUAGAAAAAUCAAGUCCCGAAAUAGACAGAAAUUUGACUGUGAGUGCUGCACCAAGAAACAGAUGAGACCACCUCCGACUAAUCAAAACCCACAGCCACUGGCAAUGACUAACUUCUUGUGCCAAUCAGGGGUAUACCUAGGGAAAAUGCAGAACGAAGCAGUGAAGGAAACUCCUGAAACAAGUGACAGUCCAGUCAAAGUGUUUUGUCAUAUCUGGGUGCACUGCAGGCAACCUCUUUGCUGCUGGAAGUGGUCAUCACCAUUGUGAGUGUCCAGAGAUGCAGAUAUCUCAACCUGCUGCAAUUGUGACUUGCAGGACAGGAAUUGUUGUGCCUAGCAAGUGAUGGAGGCUCUAGUCACGCAGAACAGGAAUUACAUUGCAGAAGGAACCUGCGGGCGAUAAAACCUGGGUAGCAAGGUAACUAUCUGAAGAGCGACUAACUUCCUGGUUGACUAUUUGAAUUGCAACUAAACGACAAAGUAUACCUAGGCCAGCAUAAUAAAUGAGAGUGAUCACUACAUCAAGUUAUGAUUUUAUUAGCAUAAUGUAGCUUGUGUCCUGAAUUUACUGCCAAUUCAAACUCAUAUUUUGUUGCAUCCUGUUGUAUAAAUCAUUACAGAAUAACAUUUAUUGUAUCCUUUAUGAACAUAACACUACUUCCAGCAGAUGGAGCUGCUAAGAUUCCUGUUUUAUAAAUAUAGGAAUGUUGCUUAUGAAGUAUCAGACAUAUUUCAGCAUAUGUGUGCCAUCAUCCAGGUCAUGUUUAUAGUUACAGUUAAUAUAUCAUACACUUAGCAUAAAUUUUCAUGUAGGCUGAGUGGAUCCACAGGUGUGUUGUAUACACUAUAUAUACUCUAAUAGAGUAGCUCAUAUAUUGCCAUUGAAUAUUUGUAAUUUAACACUUCGCGGACUGGUGAUUUAAAUCACCCUGGGGACCGGCAUUUUUAAACAUA
Cryptotermes secundus is the source of this 1774-nucleotide long non-coding RNA. RefSeq lists it as uncharacterized. Lineage: Eukaryota; Metazoa; Arthropoda; Insecta; Blattodea; Kalotermitidae. The transcript is spliced from 3 exons. The record is from RefSeq and is a predicted model, not a curated record.